UCCGAGUUGACCCCGGCAGUCUCCUGCGAGUCCCCGCCAUUACGCGCUGGCAACACAGGACACAAGGGUUGCGCUCGUUGCGGGACUUAACCCAACAACUCACGACACGAGCUGACGACAGCCAUGCAGCACCUGUGCAUGCUUCCCUUGCGGGCUCGUCCCCCUUUCAGGGUUCUACUACAUGCAUGUCAAGGCCAGGUAAGGUUCUUCGCGUUGCAUCGAAUUAAGCCACAUACUCCACCGCUUGUGCAGGCCCCCGUCAAUUUCUUUGAGUUUUAAUCUUGCGACCGUACUUCCCAGGCGGCACGUUUAUCGCGUUAGCUGCGUUACUAAAGGAGUUCAUCCUCCAACAACUAGUUGCCAUCGUUUAGGGCGUGGACUAC
This 383-nucleotide unclassified non-coding RNA is filed under the name uncultured bacterium. Its description in RNAcentral is "contains 16S-23S intergenic spacer region". The record is from RNAcentral.